Long non-coding RNA from Papaver somniferum (opium poppy), 1403 nucleotides. RefSeq lists it as uncharacterized. The transcript has 4 exons. Lineage: Eukaryota; Viridiplantae; Streptophyta; Magnoliopsida; Ranunculales; Papaveraceae. The record is from RefSeq and is a predicted model, not a curated record.
UAUUAUCUUUCCUAAUAUAAAUAAGAAGCAUAUCUCCACAGGUUAUGUGGUGAAGAUAUUCACCAAAUCCCUUUUCUAAGUCUUCUAUUUAUCAAUAACAACAGCGAACCCUAGAAAUUACUUCUUCUCUGUUCAUUACAUCUCCAAUUACUUCUCAAACCCUGACUGCAAUCUCUAAUUCAAACUAAAACCCAUGUCUUACUUAGGGUUUCUAUUUGUUUGAGAUGUUUGUAUUUGUUUGUAUCCAUCUCACUGACAGUAUGAUUGAUUUGGUGAAGCACGGGGAAUGAAUGUUGCAAUGAGUGAUUGAAUGAGAUGUGUAUGAAAUAGAUGAAUGCUUAGGGUGUUCUCAGUUCUAUCUGUUGUGAGUAGUGUCGAGAUAUGAGCUCUGGGUUGUGUUUACAAGCAUUUGGUGGUGACGGAAAUGUUGCAGUUCAGGUCAAGAGGUAGAGAAAAUGGUUUUUGAUGGAAAGAUCGAACAACCGUCAAAGAUUUGGAUCUUGCCAUUCGUUUGAAGGGUUGGAAAUUCGUUUAUGUUGGUGAUAUUCAGGAAAAAAAAUGAACUGCCAAGUACUGUUGAAGCAUUUCGAUUCGAACAACAUAGAUGGUCCUGCGGACCUGCAAAUUUGUUUAGAAAAAUGGCUAUGGAAAUCAUCAGAAAUGAGCAAAAAAAAGGCAAGAGGGGUUCGCAGUUUGCUGCAACAAUGACGGCAUACCAAAAAAAAGGGACUGUAAUAAGUGGUAUAAUAAAAGUAAGUGAGCAGUAGAUUGAAGUAAGCUAUCAUGGCGCGACAUUGGUUUGGCCUGGCAAGAUGGCCUAGGCCUUGACCACUCAGCUGAGUCAGUUAGCGGACUCUGACUAGAACUAGCUGACUCAGUGGAACGGGGCGAUCCGAAAUCGAGCUAUACUAAAUCAAAAAUCCUAAGUAUGCAUCGGAACGGGACGAAGCAAAGCGGUUUUCGGGUACGCGCGGUGCGUAGCACGGGCAAAAAAUCUAGUGUCACAUAAAACCCCGAUUUGGACAAUCGGAUUAUACAUAUGCCAACGUCAACCGAUUCUGUAAGUCCUCUGUUAACCUACCCAGAAUCGGUUUACAAGUGCAUGAACGUAAACCGAUUAUGGGUACUGUUUACGAGAAAAAAGUCAAGAAAUUUAAGUUGUUUGAUGUUUUGAAGAACUCUUUAACAUUAGUUGAUCUCACAUCUAAAACAUAACUAGUACAACCGUUGCCACGGUGUGAGGGCCGACCGAAGAACUUGACAAAACGACACCACUACGUGAUUGCACAAAUUCAGAUUUGUAAAGUAAAAAAAACAUUGUAAAAGAGAUGUUCAGACAAAUUUUAUCAUAAUUCUAGUUUAUAAAACAAAAUUGUAUUAACUUGAUAAUGUAAAAAAAUUUC